This 79-nucleotide ribosomal RNA is filed under the name Thiobacillus sp. SCN 63-374. RNAcentral's name for it is "partial 16S ribosomal RNA". It matches the Rfam family "Bacterial small subunit ribosomal RNA", at positions 1 to 72 of the family's 1533-position model. The record is from RNAcentral. Lineage: Bacteria; Pseudomonadati; Pseudomonadota; Betaproteobacteria; Nitrosomonadales; Thiobacillaceae.
AGAGAUUGAACUGAAGAGUUUGAUCCUGGCUCAGAUUGAACGCUGGCGGAAUGCUUUACACAUGCAAGUCGAACGGCAG